AUUAAACCUAAAGACCUAAUUCGGCUCUAUGGCUCGAGUCUGAUUCACCUAAGCUAAUCUAUUCGGCUCAAUUAUCCAAUUGGUAUCUAAGAUAAGUAAUUAAAAUAAUUAUUUAAUUGAUUUCAUUUGCUUACCUGACUAAUUUAUUAGUGUCUAAAAGAAGCAAUGGGGGACCCCCACCAAUCUCCACAUACCCUGUCAAUUUGGAAGAUUGAGUCUCAAAUAUAAUUGCUUGGUGGUUUGAUUUAGUCCAUGCUAAUUACAUCAGUCAUGUGAUGACUGAUUAGAUG
This 290-nucleotide long non-coding RNA is filed under the name Elaeis guineensis (African oil palm). RNAcentral's name for it is "long non-coding RNA (EGUI_LNC071187)". The record is from RNAcentral. Lineage: Eukaryota; Viridiplantae; Streptophyta; Magnoliopsida; Arecales; Arecaceae.